RNAcentral lists this ribosomal RNA (459 nucleotides) under uncultured bacterium. RNAcentral's name for it is "partial 16S ribosomal RNA". It matches the Rfam family "Bacterial small subunit ribosomal RNA", at positions 338 to 795 of the family's 1533-position model. The record is from RNAcentral.
CCUACGGGAGGCAGCAGUGAGGAAUAUUGGUCAAUGGCCGAGAGGCUGAACCAGCAAAGUCGCGUGAGGGAAGAAUGUCCUAUGGAUUUUAACCCUCUUUUGUCAGGGAGCAAAGUCACCCACGUGUGGUUGUUGGAGAGUAGCUGAAGAAAAAGCAUCGGCUAACGCCGUGCGAGCAGCCGCGGUAAUACUGAGGAUGCGAGCGUGAUCCGGAUUUCUUGGGUUUAAAGGGUGCGUGGGCGGGUGAUCAAGUCAGCGGUAAAAUCAUGGAGCUAAACCCCAUCCAGCCGUUGAAACUGAUGAUCUUGAGUGGGCGAGAAGUAUGCGGAAUGCGUGGUGUAGCGGUGAAAUGCAUAGAUAUCACGCAGAACUCCGAUUGCGAAGGCAGCAUACCGGCGCCUGACUGACGCUGAAGCACGAAAGCGUGGGUAUCGAACAGGAUUAGAUACCCGUGUAGUC